Molecule: unclassified non-coding RNA, 299 nt
Filed under: uncultured Didymellaceae
Lineage: Eukaryota; Fungi; Ascomycota; Dothideomycetes; Pleosporales; Didymellaceae
Description: partial contains 5.8S ribosomal RNA, internal transcribed spacer 2, and large subunit ribosomal RNA
Rfam family: 5.8S ribosomal RNA (bases 1-102)
Source: RNAcentral
AUGCGAUAAGUAGUGUGAAUUGCAGAAUUCAGUGAAUCAUCGAAUCUUUGAACGCACAUUGCGCCCCUUGGUAUUCCAUGGGGCAUGCCUGUUCGAGCGUCAUUGGUACCUUCAAGCUCUGCUUGGUGUUGGGUGUUUGUCUCGCCUCUGCGCGUAGACUCGCCUCAAAACAAUUGGCAGCCGGCGUAUUGAUUUCGGAGCGCAGUACAUCUCGCGCUUUGCAUUCAGAACGACGACGUCCAAAAGUACAUUUUUACACUCUUGACCUCGGAUCAGGUAGGGAUACCCGCUGAACUUAA